This 630-nucleotide ribosomal RNA is filed under the name Rhizobium sp. 146(2013). RNAcentral's name for it is "bacterial SSU rRNA". It matches the Rfam family "Bacterial small subunit ribosomal RNA", at positions 67 to 745 of the family's 1533-position model. The record is from RNAcentral. Lineage: Bacteria; Pseudomonadati; Pseudomonadota; Alphaproteobacteria; Hyphomicrobiales; Rhizobiaceae.
CGCCUCGCAAGAGGAGCGGCAGACGGGUGAGUAACGCGUGGGAAUCUACCCAUCUCUACGGAAUAACGCAUGGAAACGUGUGCUAAUACCGUAUACGCCCCUUGGGGGAAAGAUUUAUCGGAGAUGGAUGAGCCCGCGUUGGAUUAGCUAGUUGGUGGGGUAAAGGCCUACCAAGGCGACGAUCCAUAGCUGGUCUGAGAGGAUGAUCAGCCACAUUGGGACUGAGACACGGCCCAAACUCCUACGGGAGGCAGCAGUGGGGAAUAUUGGACAAUGGGCGCAAGCCUGAUCCAGCCAUGCCGCGUGAGUGAUGAAGGCCUUAGGGUUGUAAAGCUCUUUCACCGGAGAAGAUAAUGACGGUAUCCGGAGAAGAAGCCCCGGCUAACUUCGUGCCAGCAGCCGCGGUAAUACGAAGGGGGCUAGCGUUGUUCGGAAUUACUGGGCGUAAAGCGCACGUAGGCGGAUCGAUCAGUCAGGGGUGAAAUCCCGCAGCUCAACUGCGGAACUGCCUUUGAUACUGUCGAUCUAGAGUAUGGAAGAGGUGAGUGGAAUUCCGAGUGUAGAGGUGAAAUUCGUAGAUAUUCGGAGGAACACCAGUGGCGAAGGCGGCUCACUGGUCCAUUACUGACG